UACGUAGGGUGCGAGCGUUAAUCGGAAUUACUGGGCGUAAAGCGUGCGCAGGCGGUUCGUUGUGUCUGAUGUGAAAGCCCCGGGCUCAACUUGGGAAUGGCAUUGGAAACUGGCGAGCUAGAGUGUGGCAGAGGGGGGUGGAAUUCCGCGUGUAGCAGUGAAAUGCGUAGAGAUGCGGAGGAACACCGAUGGCGAAGGCAGCCCCCUGGGCUGACACUGACGCUCAGGCACGAAAGCGUGGGGAGCAAACAGG
This 253-nucleotide ribosomal RNA is filed under the name uncultured beta proteobacterium. RNAcentral describes it as "partial 16S ribosomal RNA". It matches the Rfam family "Bacterial small subunit ribosomal RNA", at positions 524 to 776 of the family's 1533-position model. The record is from RNAcentral. Lineage: Bacteria; Pseudomonadati; Pseudomonadota; Betaproteobacteria.